RNAcentral lists this long non-coding RNA (1401 nucleotides) under Physcomitrium patens. RNAcentral describes it as "long non-coding RNA (PPAT_LNC011444)". The record is from RNAcentral. Lineage: Eukaryota; Viridiplantae; Streptophyta; Bryopsida; Funariales; Funariaceae.
CCGCAAAAUGAGCUCUAGAACAUGUGCAUCUUCUUCAUCUUCCUGCUGUUACUCCUAUAUCACAAAUGGUGCAGCUGAUAGGCAAGCUUUCAAAAGCCGAAUGCACUUCGUUCGUAAGGGUGUCAACGGAGUUUUCAGAGGAGCCAACUCCGAAAACUUACAGCUCAUGAUAUUCGUUUUCUAGAAAGCGAUUGGAGCAGAAUUGAAGAUGAUGAGAGCAGUGUAGUGAUUUUCUGGGCUUGGUUCAAAUCUAACGGAAGUUUUCUUGUGUGCUGGUACCACGGCAGUCAUCGUAGACACGAUGUGGCAUUUACAGCUUUACUUUCAGAGCCACCGAGUCAGCUUGAAUCUAGAACUCAACAAGAAGCGUUUCUUAUGUGGUGAUAAGCCACAGUUCCAAGUCCCAGGACAUGCUGCAACCUAAUUGUUUGUUAAUUCUCCAGUGAAAGUGUCCAUGUCUAGUUGUACCACGAGAAGGCAGUUCUGAAGGUUGUAAUGCCACUGCCAGUAGCCAUUGAUGUCUUAUAAGCCAAUGGACCACCUUCAUCAAAUCGAAGUCUCUCACCAUGAUUUAAAAGAGAUUUCUUCUGAGGAACAAGAACGAGGUAAGUAAUCUUGAAGCUUUGUAUCAUUUCGAGUGACGUUUUCUGCACACUUUGCCACUAAGUUGGUGUUGUCGGCAGGUUUUCGAAGUACUCAAUUUUGGUCGAUUGCCUUCAUCAAGGACUAACAGAUGUGUUUAGUGCCAUUCUCUACUGUUAAAGGGCCUAGAUCUCUUCUACACUACCCACCUUUAAUUUCUUUUUUUGAAGCACAGGUGGGGAAAUGAGAUGCAGCUUGUUGCUAGUCGUAAUUUUUGUGCAGGUUGUUGUGCUAAUAGUAGAUCGCAAUCUAUGAUUGCUACCAUCAAAUUUCUACCUUUUAUUGCUCUCGGUUUGUACUUAGUACACAAAGACAGACAAUCCUCUUAGUCUUUGAAUACAUGCCUCAACAUGCAAUGUACUUGAACCCAAGUUUCUUGAUGGGCCUUGAUGGCCGUAGUGUGAUGCUUUUCCUGCUGCUUAGAUGUUUCAAACAGUCUCUAUUAGCAGCUCGCACAAUCAUCCUCAAUCCAGAUCUCUUCAUUUCAUGAUUUUUUCAAUCUGCUAAAACAACUCUUCAGCCACUCAUCGUUUUUUUUGUUGAAAAGUUCAUCUACCUCUUACAAUCAUGCAUAAAUUAGAACUAACUCUACCUGCUUCUACUAUCAACUUCAAUAUUAUCACCACUUCCAAUUAUAUUUUUGGUUUCAUUUUUUUUCAGUUUUUCAGUUUUUUUUUUUUUUUUUUUUUUUUUUAAAAAUAUUAUUGAUUUUUCAUCCUGUUUUUCUCUAAAAUCCAUCCACUUUCUAUUGAUUUUUUU